Molecule: long non-coding RNA, 2365 nt
Organism: Acanthopagrus latus (yellowfin seabream)
Lineage: Eukaryota; Metazoa; Chordata; Actinopteri; Spariformes; Sparidae
Exons: 2
Source: RefSeq, a predicted model, not a curated record
GACAGCGCUGCAGACUGAACCGACCGUGGACUUUGAUACCGUCAUAAACUAAAGAGAGCAGCAGCAGCAGCAGCAUCCACUUUUGGGACUCUUACCUUCCAUUUCUUUUUUCAACUGGGUCACUGUAUUUAAAGGAAAUUAGCAUGCUAACCAGCUAGCCCCAUCCUGCCCUACUCCAAAUCCCCUGUGCUAGCAGUGUAAACACCAACACUCCUCUGGACCCCGAGCUCCCAGCGUGGACUGCUGGCUGCAGGGCCAGCUGAGCUAACUAGCUAACAGCAGCUACACAGAGCAACAUGGUAGCGAUUACUCUGGCGAUAUGCUGCCCCCUGUUGGCUUUAAGUAUAAAUUCAACAAGAGGCCAAACAUUCUGCACCUUCAUAUUAUAUUUAUAAAGCAGCAGGGUUCCGACCUCUGUCCCAUGUUGUUAGUGUUGUGUAGAUUUAAUUGAUCCCAGGUGUGUUCUUUUAUUAGUGUUGCCAUUGGAGACCUAGUUGUGCUCGUUUGCACCUGCCUCGUACUUCCUGUCUCAGUCUUUACUCUGUGUCUCUGCCUGUCAGUGGGACAUUCAUCAUCAAUCUCGGACCCUCUGGGGUUCUGUGCAGAGACACAACAUGUCUUCUUCGCAGGUUACUGCAGUGACCACUCCUUUCAACAUCCAUUUAUUUGUACACUUCCUUUGGUCCUCUGGUGGAUGUGGGGGUCGUUCAGGGACAGGAUACAGAGGUCCUCCAUGAUGACAUCCAGCUGUCCUCUGAUGGACAGAUUAGCCAUGAGGCUCUCUCAGGGUAAUGGGUCUUUAACCUGAGUCAUCUUAGUAAUAUAAAUGUUUACUGCUGUGGAUUGUUGACACCUGAGUUGGUUCAAUAGCCUGAUAGAUAUAAUGAUGACACGUGCAACAAUGAGAGCUGGUCAGCAUGUUUAUGCGUAUCCGAGCAUUAAGCUCUGUGCUAAUUGGUCCAUGAUGAAAUGUAAAGUGACCUAUAAAACAUGCGACAUAGGUCAACCAGAAACAUGUUUCACCAUUCUUGUGUAUUUUCAUUUCACAUUUCCUUAAGAAUCUUAUCUUUCCUUAUUAAAGAGUGAGCCGCCAUGAACUGUAGUAUUUCAGAUGGAUGGAUUUUCUUAUAUUGAAUGAAUGUUAGUGUGAUGUUACACAUUUCAUAUAAAGUUAUGUUUUCUGAUUCACUGUUACACUAAGGUUAACCACAAAGUGGCCCAAAUGUCAUCAGAGAUUUUGACUUCUGUUAUUAUUGCUGUUCCUCCUCCCCUCUCUCCUUCGUUGGUACACAAGCCUUAGCAUUCUGGAUGCCAGAAAAAAAAUAUGUACUCUAGUCAUGAAGACUGUGCUGAAUGUUUGUCCAUGAGCGAAAAAACAACUGAGGAAACAAGUUACAUAAAAGGAAGGAAGAGGACGUCCAGGAUGACCUGCUGUAAUGAGGCAGAAGCAGAUGGCAGUUUGGGAGAGUACAACAAAGACCUUCUAUGUGAUAGUUUGAUGGUUGUUAAAUAAUAUAUCUACAGACCGAGGCUGAAAAAUAGCAUAAAUAAUUAAUGCAAAAACCUCAAACAGAACUGUUAAAAUCUUUAUUUUCUACAAAGAAAUUUCUCUGAAAUAGUUUACAAAUGAUGCUCCAAGGCAAUCUUUCUCCUUAAGGCUCAACAAAUGACUUGACUGUGUCAGUCAGCUGGGAUGAUCAACACAUGCUGGAACAUAAACAGCAGCUUCCUGUCAGCAGUGACAUGAGGGUGAAGGAGGACCCAGGGUGAUAACAGAAGGCACAUGAAGUUCUGUCAGACUCACACUGCUGCGCACUAUCAAAGAAUCUGGCUUGUUACGCACUACACUUCAUACUAACUCUCGCUUCUGAUUGCUUGGCUAAUAAAAUAUAUAUAAAAUAUAUUAAGCAAUCCAUCGUUGGUCAAAUAUAUUUUGAAAUAUAAAUAGUUAAUUAGAUUCAAGUAUUGCAGGUUUAAAGCUACAAAGCAUGACCCAAGGUGAGUCAACUGAACACUAGCGCACUACUCUGCCAGAUAUCACACCGAGACUUCACAACAUACAAGGCUUCAAUCUUAAGGCUUCAAUAAUCUAUAUCUUUAUCUUAAUAAUGAAUAAAAUGAGUGGGUGGGAUGUGAAUGGGGGGGUGGGUAAUCAUCAGUCACCUUUCUGACUUCUUGAAGCGGACACUGGACUUGAAUUUCUCAGACACAUAAAUUAAUGAUAAAGUUAACCUGGGACUUUUGGAUGUGUAAAUAAGCAACUGUUUGAAAGCACUUUUGCAAUGUAACGUUCCCAAAGAGAUACCAGACAUAAAUUAUAUCUUUCACAUGUUUCACUUCCCGUAAAGUGACCAAUACAACAAAA